GACGAACGCUAGCGGCGUGCCUAAUACAUGCAAGUAGAACGCACAGUUUAUACCGUAGCUUGCUACACCAUAGACUGUGAGUUGCGAACGGGUGAGUAACGCGUAGGUAACCUGCCUGGUAGCGGGGGAUAACUAUUGGAAACGAUAGCUAAUACCGCAUAAUAUUGAUUAUUGCAUGAUAAUUGAUUGAAAGAUGCUAUUGCAUCACUACCAGAUGGACCUGCGUUGUAUUAGCUAGUAGGUGAGGUAACGGCUCACCUAGGCGACGAUACAUAGCCGACCUGAGAGGGUGAUCGGCCACACUGGGACUGAGACACGGCCCAGACUCCUACGGGAGGCAGCAGUAGGGAAUCUUCGGCAAUGGACGAAAGUCUGACCGAGCAACGCCGCGUGAGUGAAGAAGGUUUUCGGAUCGUAAAGCUCUGUUGUAAGAGAAGAACGGGUGUGAGAGUGGAAAGUUCACACUGUGACGGUAUCUUACCAGAAAGGGACGGCUAACUACGUG
This 505-nucleotide ribosomal RNA is filed under the name uncultured bacterium. Its description in RNAcentral is "partial 16S ribosomal RNA". It matches the Rfam family "Bacterial small subunit ribosomal RNA", at positions 28 to 507 of the family's 1533-position model. The record is from RNAcentral.